GACGAACGCUGGCGGCGUGCUUAACACAUGCAAGUCGAACGGAAAGGCCCUGCUUUUGUGGGGUGCUCGAGUGGCGCACGGGUGAGUAACACGUGAGUAACCUGCCCUUGACUUUGGGAUAACUUCAGGAAACUGGGGCUAAUACCGGAUAGGAGCUCCUGCUGCAUGGUGGGGGUCGGAAAGUUUCGGCGGUUGGGGAUGGACUCGCGGCUUAUCAGCUUGUUGGUGGGGUAGUGGCUUACCAAGGCUUUGACGGGUAGCCGGCCUGGGAGGGUGACCGGCCACAUUGGGACUGAGAUACGGCCCAGACUCCUACGGGAGGCAGCAGUGGGGAAUAUUGCACAAUGGGCGGAAGCCUGAUGCAGCAACGCCGCGUGCGGGAUGACGGCCUUCGGGUUGUAAACCGCUUUCGCCUGUGACGAAGCGUGAGUGACGGUAAUGGGUAAAGAAGCACCGGCUAACUACGUG
RNAcentral lists this ribosomal RNA (468 nucleotides) under uncultured bacterium. RNAcentral's name for it is "partial 16S ribosomal RNA". It matches the Rfam family "Bacterial small subunit ribosomal RNA", at positions 28 to 507 of the family's 1533-position model. The record is from RNAcentral.